Molecule: long non-coding RNA, 226 nt
Filed under: Elaeis guineensis (African oil palm)
Lineage: Eukaryota; Viridiplantae; Streptophyta; Magnoliopsida; Arecales; Arecaceae
Description: long non-coding RNA (EGUI_LNC061390)
Source: RNAcentral
UUGCACGAUCCGACGGCCAGAACUUCAUCAGAACCCAGAUCGGACGGCUGACAUUUGAUCCGACCCUGAUAAGGAUUAUAACUCUAAUUUUUGAGCAGAUCUGGGCGGUCCGAAGCUGAUCCGACGGCCAGGAAUAUUCCUAAGGAGAUUUAUACGAUUUCUAAGGGUUUUAGGACUCCUUUUCCUACCAAAAAAUCAUGAAAAAUUUAUCUAUAAAUAGGAGGUC